Postia placenta Mad-698-R is the source of this 101-nucleotide non-coding RNA. The record is from Rfam. Lineage: Eukaryota; Fungi; Basidiomycota; Agaricomycetes; Polyporales; Adustoporiaceae.
UAAGGCGCUAUAGCCAAGUGGUUACGGCGACAGAUUAGAAUCAUAUGAUCUGUUCCUCUUUGAGGGCGCAGGUUCGAGUCCUGCUGGCGUCGCUUUGUUUU